AGCUCUGCAGUGCCGCGGUCGAGUGACGCGGAGACGGGAGUAGCGUCGGGAGGAGAGGGCUCGGCGCCCCAGCCAGGGGCCAGGUCUCGCCAUCCUCUCAAAGCCCUCUCCUCCAGUAGGGGUCAGAGUCUGGGCUUUUGCGCCUGGAGGACGCAGGACGCGGAGUGGUGCUCCCUGAGAUCUCAGCCCUGGAAGGAGGUGGCUGUGAAGACGGCCAGGACAUCCACCCCCUUCUCCCCCGCUCGGGAGGGCACUUCUAUCAGGCCUGAAAAGCCACCGCCUUGAACGUUGGAAUCUGAUGGGAAACUGAGGCACAAGGAAGGGAAGACCUGGCUGUGCCUGAGUCCGCGGGGGUGCGGCCCACCAUCCCAUGCGGGAGUCGAACCAGCAACCUUGUUCAGAGCACGCGCUCUAACCAACUGAGCCACCCAGCCAUCCCUAGAGUGACUUCUUAAUGCGCAGGCCGGGAUAUCUCGCACACGCCUUUGUGCUUGCUCCUACGAGGUUGAGGAAGGGAAGAGAGAAAUGGAAAACAGAUGUGCUCCCUGCGGUGACUGGUUUGUGGUGGUGACGUGGCUGUCCCGUGCUCUCUGGGUCUUGACUGCUGAUCUAGCUCCCUCUUCAGACCAGGGUUUCUCAUUCUCAGCACUGCUGACAUUUGGGGCUGGACCAUUCUUGGUUGUGGGGUCCUGUCCUGUGCAUUGUUCAGCAGCGUCCAUGGGCUCUGCCCACUAGAUGCCAGCAGCCGCCCCCACACACCCACACCAAGGUGUGCAACCAAAAAUGUCUCCCGACAUUGCCAGUGUCCCCGGGGGGCAAACUUUCCCUGGUUGAGAAUGGGUGCUCUAGAGAUUCGGUGUGGACAAGUGGGGCUCCACAGGCCUGCUGCCGAGAGACUCUCCCAAGGGACUCCCCUGGGUCAUAUAUUCUUGCUGUCCCUUGGAGGUGGCCUCAUGCCCUAUUGCUCUGAGGAGUUCCUCCGGUCCCAAAUCCUAGAAGCUGUAAUUCCAUCCAUGCUCUGGGGCUGUGGGGAUGGUAUCCAUCUUCUGAGGGGGUAGAUGGAUGGAUGCUUCAUCACACAGGCUUAGAGAGCAUCAGUGCUGAAUGGCAUCUGCCAGGCAGCGCCCCCAGCUGGCAGUUCUCUGAAUUUAGAAUGGGGUGUGUGUUUUAUUCUUGGCAGUGGGUAAAGUCCCACAGGACACCUUCCUCGACCUAAUCAUAUACUUUUACACAUCAUCUCAUUACUUCUCACAACCCCCAAGGGAGGAGUUACUGUGAUCAUCUUUUCACAGAUGAAGAAAUGCAGGUGCAGGUUGAGGGACCGCCCCAGGUGAACCGCAGAACCAGGACCGGGUCCAGGUCUGAGCUACCCACUCGUGGGCCAAGGGGCCCUGCCUCCUGCUCCCCCACCUCCCCACACCCAUCCCCGUGUAGGCCCACUAGCUCGCCGUGCAGCCUCCAGACCACUUCUCUUCCUCCUGUGCCCUGCCUGCUCGGACCCGCUGCUCCCGGCCUCACCACUCUCAGCCCUGGUCCUGCUGCGUUCGCUCCUUGUCUGGGGCGUGUCUGGCCCCCGACUGCAAUCUUGUUGGCUCUAAGUACUGCUGAGAACGUGCAGAAACUUGGGAUCUGGGAGUUGCAUCGCUGCCACGUCCUCUCGCUCACCUAGAAUGAUAUUCACCCUCGUCUGACCCCAGCCGCCACUCUCGGGGCCCCGGUCUGACCACACCACGUCUUGAUUGCUGAAGUCCAUUAUGCCAGCCUGUUCUGUUUUGUCCCUCCUGUGGCCACACUCUCAUUCAGGCCUGCCUUUAACCCUCUAGCCUUGCACACCCCACCCUCCUCUUCCUCCCCACCCCCCUCCUUCCCUCCCCCUCCUCCCCUUCCCUUCCUCUUCCUGUCUGCUGUCUACUGGCCGGAGGCUGUGGGGAGGGACGGAUGGGGUCUGUCUAGAGUGGGGACCAUACGCUGCUGGGUGAUGCUGCUGCAACUGCAAGUUUCUCCU
Hipposideros armiger (great roundleaf bat) is the source of this 2005-nucleotide long non-coding RNA. RefSeq lists it as uncharacterized. The transcript is spliced from 3 exons. The record is from RefSeq and is a predicted model, not a curated record. Lineage: Eukaryota; Metazoa; Chordata; Mammalia; Chiroptera; Hipposideridae.